Molecule: ribosomal RNA, 1890 nt
Filed under: Triticum aestivum (bread wheat)
Lineage: Eukaryota; Viridiplantae; Streptophyta; Magnoliopsida; Poales; Poaceae
Description: partial small subunit ribosomal RNA
Source: RNAcentral
UUGUUAGCUUGCUAUCCAGAUAGGUCAUACUGUGGCCCUCCAGAUUUCUUAUGCCGGUAUUGUGGUGCCUCCUUCUGGUUUGCUGAGUGUUCCAAGUCCGGGUCAUCCUGGACACAACGUAAGAUGGUUUACAAUCGUUGUUCUAAAGGCGCUAAGGUUUAUAUUCCUCCCUUUAAGGAUCCCCCGGCCUAUCUCCGGGAGCUCCUUCGAUUCGAUGGUACUUCUCGUGCUAAAAAAUUCAUCCGGGCUAUACGUGAGUACAAUUGUAUGUUCGCAUUUACUUCGAUGGGUUCUACCGUUGAACGCUCUUUUGGUGGCAGCCGUGGGCCUAAGAUCUUCAAGAUCAGUGGUCAAGUGUCUCAUCGUAUUGGUUCGCUGGUGCCCAGCGGUGAUGAUACUCCUAAGUUUGCUGAGUUGUACAUACAUGACCCCGCUAAUGAGAUUAGACAUAGGAUGAAUGCUUUAAAUCCGGACGAUAAACCUAUUGGGGGGGUCGAUGAGAGUAUUGUGGUUGGCCUUAGAGAUAUGCUUAAUGAGUCUAACCCAUUGGUACAAACCUUUAGGGAGGCAAAGGAUCGCGGUGAUGAACCUAUAGAGGAUAUCUCGAUUCGUAUUAUAGGGCCUUCAGAGGGUGAUAGUCCACAAUUUAGCUUGCCUACAACUACUGGGCUUGCUGCUUUGGUUGUCGGUGGUGGGUUCACGUUAGAGGCGUCUUCCCGGGAUAUUGUUGUCCGCAGUCGUUCUGAUGGUUUGCAGCAGAUAUCUUCUCUGAACACUGCGUUCAUGCCUCUGCAAUACCCGUUGCUUUUUCCUUAUGGUGAGAGGGGGUUCCAGAUUGAUGUUCCUCACCUGAUUGUUCCUGAAGAAGACACGAAUAGUCGGAAUAGGAUGACCAUGCAAGAUUACUAUCGUUUUAUGUGCCAUUACAAAGGUGAUCAGCCCAAUCCAUAUAUAUGCUAUGGUCUCCUCUCCUCCCAGUCCGUUGUUGAUGCACGCGCGUGCAUUGAUGAGAGUAGACUAUGGUAUAUCAUAAGAAAUCAGGACAUGUUCAGAUCAGAGCAUAUGCAGGGUAUUACCGAUGCAGUAGGUGAUGGGUGUGUAGAUGGCGACACUGUUGGAAAGAGGACCAUUGUGCCCUCCAGUCACAUGGGUGGUCGUCGUUAUUUUAAUGAGAACUUCCAUGAUGGCAUUGCCAUUUGUCGGGUGCAUGGUGCACCAGACGUAUUUACCACUUUCACUUGUAAUCCCAAGUGGCCCGAGAUCACCGCUGCAUUAGAGCCAGGGCAGGCGCCUUCUGAUAGGGCAGAUGUUGUUGUUAGGGUCUAUCACACGAAGCUUGCCGAGUACUUGGAUGAGAUCAAGUCAGGCCGGGCUUUUGGCCCCAUCCUAUAUACUAUUGAGUUCCAGAAGCGUGGGCUGCCACACGCGCAUAUACUUGUCUGGCGGAUAGGGGGCAACGGUGAGAUUGGUGUUGAAAAUAUUAAUUCAUUAAUAUCUGCUGAGAUACCUGAUGCGUUGCUUGAUCCUCUAGGGUAUGCUUUAGUUUCCGAAUUUAUGAUGCACAGUCCGUGUGGUGAAAUGAACGAUAAAUGUGUCUGCAUGAAAAAAGGUGUUUGUUCUAAAUAUUUUCCAAAGGAUUUUAGAGAUGCUACUGUCAUUGAUGAUAACGGGUUUGUCUUAUAUCGACGUCGCGACGACGGUCGAAGGGUUUAUAAAAAUGGUUACUUUCUUGACAAUAGGCAUGUUGUUCCUUAUAAUAUGGCCAUGCUCAAGAAAUUUCAGGGUCAUAUAAAUGUAGAGUGGUGUAAUAAGACACAAGUGAUGAAAUACCUUUUCAAGUACGUCACCAAGGGUGCUGAUUACUCUAAGGUCAUGUUAGAAAGGUUAAAA